ACGUAGGUGGCAAGCGUUAUCCGGAAUUAUUGGGCGUAAAGGGUGCGUAGGCGGCGAGAUAAGUCUGAGGUAAAAGCCCGUGGCUCAACCACGGUAAGCCUUGGAAACUGUCUGGCUGGAGUGCAGGAGAGGACAAUGGAAUUCCAUGUGUAGCGGUAAAAUGCGUAGAUAUAUGGAGGAACACCAGUGGCGAAGGCGGUUGUCUGGCCUGUAACUGACGCUGAAGCACGAAAGCGUGGGGAGCAAAUAG
RNAcentral lists this ribosomal RNA (250 nucleotides) under uncultured bacterium. RNAcentral describes it as "partial 16S ribosomal RNA". It matches the Rfam family "Bacterial small subunit ribosomal RNA", at positions 525 to 775 of the family's 1533-position model. The record is from RNAcentral.